This is a small nuclear RNA of Cricetulus griseus (Chinese hamster), 104 nucleotides long. The record is from Ensembl. Lineage: Eukaryota; Metazoa; Chordata; Mammalia; Rodentia; Cricetidae.
GUGCUCACUUUCACAGCACAUACACUAAAAUUGGACCAAUACAGAGAAUGGCAUGACCCCUGUGCAAGCAUGACAGGAAAAUUCGUGAAGCAUUCCAUAUAUUU